GCAGACAGUGUGGAUAAAGUAGCAGGGGAUUUCACAAAGGAAAUAUUAUUGGCCAGACUUGUCGGAAUGUACACAGAAUAAAAUAUUACUUGAAAACAGCAUAUAAUCUACUGCCAGUAUCACCUUAUUUGUGAAAUGGGAGCCACAAGAAUAUGAGAAUUGAAGCCAAAUCAGAGAGAGAUCUACUACAAGCAUCGUAGCAGAGCUGGAGGCAAAUGUGACUGGAGAUACAAUGGGAAAUCCAAUAAGUUUCAGCUUCCUGACUGGUCGAGGAGUUGCCAAAGUAUCCGAUCCCUCCCUCAUUUCCAAGGCUGCACAGCUCUGAUGGAACUCCCUCACUGGCCACUGCCUCAAAUCUACUGUUCCUGGUGGAUUUCAGAAUGCAAGGCACCGAAGUUAUUGCUGACCCAGUUCUCACUAGCAUAGGUGGGGUCAGGGACUCCCUGCAGGUUUUAAGUGUGUGUGUGGCAGAGGGGAGGCAGAGCCUUCAAGAGAAAUCUGCCUCCUCCUCACAUUGGACCCCGGGCUCAGCAAAGACCCAAACAGAAGUUCCAAGGUCUUAAUCUAGUGUAAUAACGUGGGUUAAGGAUUACACAAAUAGGGUAACAUUCACCUUUUCCCUGCAGCUUGGAACUGCCUCUGGAGAGUCUCUUAGUUCAUCUCUCCCACUUUGAGACAACAAUUGAAAAGGUUUCCUCUUCAGAAGUGUGUGCGUUAAUUGUUCUUGGGCCAUAUGUCAGACAUUUCAUUUAAUGAUGCCAAAGAGCAUGUCUCCACUGCAAAAAAAAAAAAAACCAAGUCCCGCAGCAGCAAGUCUCAGAUCCCAGGUCAACUGACUUGGGUGUGUGGGGCUCACUCUACAGGUCUGACAAUAGCCGUGUCAACAUUUGAGCUCAGGCUCUGAGACCUUCCCCCACAGCCAGGCUCUGAAACCCAGCAUUAGGGGAUGGUCUCAGAGCUUGGCUCCAGUCCGAGCCCAAACGUCUACAACUGCUAUUUUCAGCCCUGUAGCCUGAGUUAGUUGACCCAGGCUCUGAGGCUUAAUGACUCGGGUCUUUUUUUUGCAGCGUAGACAUUUUGUAUUGUCACCAAGCAUUGGAUUGUUUUUUAUAUUUUGUGCUUUCUAAUAUUUUAAUUGUUAUGCUGAUUUUAACUAUCAAAAAAGGAGUGAAGACUCAACAUUAUACAGCUCUUACACGGCUUGGCAUGAAUAUAUGUCUGAAUAAAGUGUUUGUCCUUAAUGGCCUGGAAAUCUGAAUAAAAAUUGUACUGAUUUUACCAUUAACCAAUAAAAAGUUUAAAAUCACUUAAGAAAUGAA
This is a long non-coding RNA of Chrysemys picta bellii (western painted turtle), 1319 nucleotides long. RefSeq lists it as uncharacterized. Lineage: Eukaryota; Metazoa; Chordata; Testudines; Emydidae. The record is from RefSeq and is a predicted model, not a curated record.